CUGCCAUACCCAUCACAGGGCCACAUUAACCCCAUGAUCAACCUCUCCAACAUCCUUGUCUCCACAAACCCCGACAUCCUCGUCACCUUUCUCGUUACUCAACACUACUUUUCCCGGACCACCUCCAACGCUAAACCCCACAACAUAACCUUCGCCGCCUUCCCUGACCUCCAUCUCUCCGCCGACACCUUCGAAGCCACCAUCCACGCCGUCAUGACGCAGAUGGAAGGGCCGCUCCAAACCCUCCUCGACCGCCUCCACCCACCGCCCACGCUCCUCAUCUGCGACGCGUUUCUCUCGUGGGCUGUCGCCCUGGCCAACCGCCGGAAAAUUCCGG
This 337-nucleotide long non-coding RNA is filed under the name Vigna radiata. Its description in RNAcentral is "long non-coding RNA (VRAD_LNC012370)". The record is from RNAcentral. Lineage: Eukaryota; Viridiplantae; Streptophyta; Magnoliopsida; Fabales; Fabaceae.